UUCAAACUUAACCCAUCUCACCAUUUUACACUUUGGCUUUCUCUUUCUCUUUGGUCAUGGAAUCCCCCGCACCACCACACAUUCAUUUUUCAAGUUUCAAACUCAAAGGCAAGCUUGAGAUUUCAAGUUCAAGUGUUCCUUCAAGCGACUUAAGCUUUGUUUUCUUUAAAGGAUUCAACCUCAAGAACUCUUUAUUCUCUUACAUCCAUAUCCUUGCUUGCUUUAAGGCACAAAUAGGAGGGUUCACAUAGACACGGACCUUGCCAUUUACGAUAUGCUUUGCCACGUUUGUUUGCACAGGAAUGUCAAGGUUACAUUUUCAAAACAAUGGAACGGUUGGAAUAGGAGAACCCAUGGGAAUUCGAGUAAUUAGCGGGCGUUAAAUUUCUAGAAGUCUUAGCUUAUUUGCUUCCGCUGUGCAAUGAAGAUACCGGUCCAGUCACGCCAAGCUCUGAUAUUUCGGGGUGUGACACUAACACCUGGAACUUUCCCUCCUUUGAUCAUCCACUAUAAAGUUGUCUCCUUGAUGUCUUGCAUUAUCACCCUUUGAAAAGUGUAACACCUCGUAAAAAUCACGUCCAAUGAUGUAUUGACACGUGUAAUAAACCCUAAUAAAGUCGAAUAGUGAAAUUUAGGGACUAAUUUUUUCGAAAAAUCGAAAACUUUGAUU
Molecule: long non-coding RNA, 670 nt
Filed under: Helianthus annuus (common sunflower)
Lineage: Eukaryota; Viridiplantae; Streptophyta; Magnoliopsida; Asterales; Asteraceae
Description: hypothetical non coding rna
Source: RNAcentral